RNAcentral lists this long non-coding RNA (4771 nucleotides) under Equus caballus (horse). Its description in RNAcentral is "lncRNA (ENSECAG00000047261.1)". The record is from RNAcentral. Lineage: Eukaryota; Metazoa; Chordata; Mammalia; Perissodactyla; Equidae.
CUCGCAUACUCCAGCUGGCCUUGCAGAGCCUGUGGCCUGGCCGCCUUGUCCUUUUCAGGAGCCAGGGAGCCGGGAGAUGCGACCAGAGCCGGGGCCGUGGGCCGGCCUGUGGUGCCUCUUCCUCCCCACAGGCAGUUGACUGAACACGGCGCACCCUAGACGGGCCUCUGAGCCGGUUUUUGGGAAUAGCUGUUUUAUUUUAUUUACAGUCAAUUACAGGAAAUAAGUCACCUCUUAGUAUUCUGGGCAACGGUUGGCUCCGAGCUUCGAGAAUUACAGGACGAGCAUGGAGUUGGGAGGAGUCUUGUCCAUGUUGCCACCCAGGAACUUAUACCCCUGGGAAGGAGGCCAGGCCUCAGAGGUGCCCAGCCUGGGCCCCGGGCCCCGAGCUGCAGGCGCUGUGCACGUGGAGGUUUUUCACAAGCGUGUUCCCAGAGAGCCGCUGCUUGCUACCCCUACGGCAGCAGGCUCCCUCUGCUUCUCAUGACCAUGUCUUCAGACCGGCCCGUGGCUCGGGCGUUGGGAGCACAGGGGCCUGGGCUGCUCCCACACGGUCAGAAAAUCAGGGAUGUGUUGUCUGUCCAGGUGCUGAGGGACCACGUUCCUGAGCAAGCGCUCCCACGGGGUGUGGCUGUCAGAGUCGUCACACGGUGGGGCUGAAGUUCUCCAGCUGGGAAGUGGCCUCAGUUCGGCGGCCAGUCCAGGCCCGCGGUUGCCUCCCUCCCCAUCCCAAGACUGCUCCAUGCCUACUAGUUUCUCUCUCUGUCUCCCUCUCUCUCUCGUAAAUGACCUUUGAGAGUUUGAAGAACUGUUAAUCUUUCCCCAAAGUUUAUUGAGGAAUGGACAAAUUAGGAAAAGUUUUCUUUUUUUAUUUGUAUUAAGAUUUCUGGUUUGUAACUUUUUUUUUUUGUUUUUUGCUGAGGAAAAUUGGCCCUGAGCAAACAUCUGUUUCCAAUCCUCCUCUUUUUUUGGGUGAGGAAGAUUAUCCCUGAGCUAACAUCCGUGCCCACCUUCCUCUGUUUUGUAUGUGCGACGCCUCUACAUACACACACUGUCAGCAUGGCUGCUGAGUGGUCUAGGUCCACACCCAGGAUCUGAACCUGCAAACCCCAGGCCGCUGAAGGGGAGCAUGCAAAACCCUAACCACUGUGCCACGGGGCCGGCCCCUAGCCGUGUUUUAGUUGAAGAAGUUAGGUCAGUUUUUAUCCAGCCGUCACUACUGGACUUGGCGCGUAUGUCCUGGCACCAGCUGCAGAGUUUCCAACAGAAACUGGGGAAGCGGGAUUGCAGUGGUUGUUUCACCUGACCUGGCGACUCCACAGUGGGGACCUGACCGGUUUGCUGGGUUUCUGCUGGUUCCCCGUCUACCUCCUCUGCUGUGGGCUCUCACUGUUGGGUGUUGCACCGGGCAGCUUGAGCUGUGCCGCAUAACCAGCCACCCGGAUUCAGAGCUGAGCGCGUCCUCUGAGCUUGUGAACCUGUGCUGGGUGGUUCUGUCACUGCUCAGCACCACUGCUUGUCUGCCGCCCCUGGGCUCUCACCCCGGCCCGCUGGCCCCGUGUGUCACGGCAGGGGCGCUCCAGGAGCCAUGAGAGGGCACUGAUGCGCCAGCACCCUCCAGUCAGUGCUGGCAUGGGGACGCGCGGCUGCCCCCUCAGCCCAGCCCGGCUCUCGGGUGGCAUGUCCACACUGCCGCCUCGUGGGACCAGCUGUAAGGCCAACUUGCGGGGGCUGUGGGCCUGCAGGGGAGCACCCACCACUUUCUCAGGCUGCACUGAGGGCAUCUCUUCCCAAAGGUUCACAGGGAAGGAGGGAAGCAGAGUGAAUGAGCAGGUGCGGCCCGUCGUGCUUGGAAGCCCGAUGCCCAGUGAGUGCCAGGACUGUGCUGGCCGGGGAGGCGUGGGGAGCCGCUGCUGCUCGGGGACAGCCCCAUCGAGGCCUGUGCCCUCAGCAUAGAAGUCUGCUCCACCCUGGGAGCUCAAGUGGUGCUGGGCAGCCGUCCUGCGUGUGGCUCUGGGUCUGAACAGCUUGCAGGACUCCUGCCCCAGGGCUCACACCUGCCGUGGGUCACGCGGCCCCUGAUCUUACUGUUGCCUCUCGCUGUCGCACGUGGCCCGGUCUGUCUGUUUGGAGGACUUGGAGGCUGACCCAGGUCCUGGCGGACGUUGGGGUAGUGGGGGAGGAGGAUGCAUUAGGGUCGAGGGACGGGGAAGGCAGAGGAGGAACGGGAGAGGGGCGCUUGCAGGACUUCGAGACACGAGUGAGGCUGUGAGGACGAUGGACGGGAGACAAAGGCUCCAUCCUGUGUGACCCCACAGGGGACCCUCUGGAAGGGAUGAGCUAGGGGACAGUGACAGGACCAGUGUUCCCGGGGGGAUGGAUGGGGACAGAUGGACAGACGGAGCACGGGGGCUUCAGGGCAGUGAAACUCCUCUGCACGACCCAUAACGGUGGACACACAUCAUUACGUAUCUGUCCAAACCCACAGACCAUCUGACACCAAGCCUGGUGACGACCAGGGUCGUUUCCUGGGCAUCUUUGUCCCCAGGGGCCGGGACGGACAGGCCACAUCCACCUGUCAGGUGGCCAGGAGAGUUGCCGGCUGGGGAGGCAUCACUGGGGUCCUGGGACAUCUGGGGGGACGCAGCUCAACCUGGGCGGGCGGCCGAGUGGGGCCUGGUCCAGGACGGGGUGUGUUCUGAAGCCCAGGCCCUCCCGCCGCGUGGGGAUGCUCGGGGUUGCCAGCGCUUAUUCUCGGGACUCCUGUGUUUGUGGGUUUGCUUUUUUCUGCAGCACAAACUCCCCACUGUGUGUGGGGCUGAGCUCUCCAUGCGCACAGGGCUGGCCCGCUGUCCACGUGUGUGGCCGCUGUGCCGGGCUUGCAGUGGACACUCAUAAACUUCGGUGGGAGGAGGGAGGGAGGAUGCCCGAAGGAGGAGGGAGAAGCAGUGACAGAUGAAACCCCCUUCUUCCUCUCGGGGUUGGGGUUAGAAGGUGGAAGCGGAGCGGGGAGCCAGUGAGCACACUGAUCUGCAGGGAAGACUGUGCCCUGUGGGCCAGGACGCAGCCCAGGUGGCUGGGGGCCAAGGGCCGAGGGUCAGGGUGAGCGGGCCCCAGGGGGCGUCUGGAGUGCGUGAGGCGCUGCCCCCUCCAUGCAGUGGGGCCACCCGGGCCAGCUUCUCUCUGGCCGGGAGGGAGGAAGGCCUGGGAGGGGUGUCUGGAGGCUGGCCAGUGCCAGAGGCUUGUGUCACAGAAGACGGGGUUGUGUGGCCCACACACGCCUGUCCUGUGUCCUGCCACCCGCAGCAGAGCCACACGCUCUCUGCGCCCGUCUGCUCCAAAGGCCUCGCAGGGGCGGGAGGGGGACCCUCAGGGACGCCAUAUUCCCACCCACCUCACAUCCUCCGGCAUUUUGGUUCCUAUGGGUGUGGGUGUGGGUGUGGGCCGGGCCGGGCCCCGCAGUCCUGCCCUGCUGCUCCAGGUGCGUCCAUGGCGGGUUCUUCCUGAGAGAUUCUCCCAGAAGCCGUCUGGGCUUCAGGAGGCAGCGCCUCCCCCAGGCUCCGUGCCCGCAGCACCCAGCGUGGGCCCAGGCGACUCAGCCCCCACUGCAGCCUUGGCCCUUUCUGCGGGAGAGGGCGGAGGUGCCGGGUGUCCGUGUGUCCGCUGGCCGCAUCCUCAGUGCACCUGCUGUCUGCUGCACUGUUGGCGUUUAUGUGAUCGGCUCCUACCUUACGGUGUGUGUUAGCGCUACAUCCUGCAUUGUGGUUACGUUCUGCCCUGUCGGUACUUUGUGCGCUGUCGUUAUUUUGGACGUUCUGGUUACUUGGUACUUUGUCGUGACGUUCCACACUGUCGUUCCAUAUUGUUACCUUGUAUGUUGUGGUACUUUCUGCCCUGUCCUGACAUUCUGCGUUGUCGUGUGGAACCGGCACCAAGACUACAGAAGCCAGAAUACUCACCCCCUCACCCGAUUUUUGAAGAGAAAACUUUCGGGUGUCCUUUGCAGCUUCAGUAUGUUUUCUCAGCCUCUAACGAGCAGGGGAAGCUGGGGCGGGCAGACCCCUUGUUCCCAGUGCGUUUUCAGGGAGGGAACAGCUGCUUGGCUGCAUCUGGGUCCCAGGCUGGCAGGCUUUGCUUCUGGGGAGAGCGCCACCUCCCCCCUGUGCGAGUGCUGGCAGGCGGCCCUAGAUCGGCUGUCCUUGCUGACCUGUUUGUGCCCUGUGCGUCCGCACAGAGCCACAGCCGGGGUCCCUGCAGACACUGCCCCCUGCACGGCCUCCUGCACCCUCAGCAGCCGCACAGAGAGAGCUGCUCGGUCAGGGCGCACCGGGUGUCCGCUCCCGCCUGCACAGCCGCCGGCCCGCCCGCCCGCAGGAGGGGUGGCCUGCCACCCCUCCUCCAGCCAUGUGCCCUCCUCAGCCUGUGGAAUGCGCCGCCGGGGCCGGCCCCACAGCGCCUGGCCGGCAACUCACGGAGUGCGCUGAGCCCAGCCACCCCAACCGUCCUGCCGGGUGCAGCUGCCACCCCGAGCCCAGCGGCCCCGGCCAGGCCCAGCCCCGAGAGCAAGAGCCAGAGCGAGGUGCCUGGCCCGGGCCCUGGCAGCCCACGCGAGCCGACAUGCGGCUCCGCGAGCUGUCGCUGCGCCAGGACCCCAACCUGAGGCAGGAGCUGGCCUCACUGGCCCGCGGCUGCGACUUCGUCUGCCCUCCCGCUUCAAGAAGAGGCUCAAGGCCUUCCAGCAGGUCCAGGUCUGCCGCAUGUCACCCCCCGG